RNAcentral lists this transfer RNA (68 nucleotides) under Symploce maxima. RNAcentral describes it as "tRNA-Pro". The record is from RNAcentral. Lineage: Eukaryota; Metazoa; Arthropoda; Insecta; Blattodea; Blattellidae.
CAGAGGGUAGUUUAGAUUAAAAUAUUAAUUUUGGGGAUUAAUGAUGGAUAAGAAGUUUCCUUCUCUGA